UAAGGAAUAUUGGACAAUGCCCGCAAGGGUGAUCCAGCCAUGCCGCGUGCAGGAAGACGGCCCUAUGGGUUGUAAACUGCUUUUACACCGGAGAAAACCCCUGUUUGCGAACGGGGCUGAUAGUAUGGUGAGAAUAAGCAUCGGCUAACUUCGUGCCAGCAGCCGCGGUAAGACGAAGGAUGCAAGCGUUAUCCGGAUUCAUUGGGUUUAAAGGGAGCGUAGGUGGCCUUGUAAGUCAGUGGUGAAAUCUGACAGCUUAACUGUUAAAUUGCCAUUGAUACUGCAAGGCUUGAGUACAGAUGCCGUUGGCGGAAUAUGACAUGUAGUGGUGAAAUACAUAGAGAUGUCAUAGAACACCGAUUGCGAAGGCAGCUGACGAAACUGUAACUGACACUGAGGCUCGAAAGUGUGGGGAUCAAACAGGAUUAGAUACCCCGGUAGUCC
This 444-nucleotide ribosomal RNA is filed under the name uncultured bacterium. RNAcentral's name for it is "bacterial SSU rRNA". It matches the Rfam family "Bacterial small subunit ribosomal RNA", at positions 355 to 796 of the family's 1533-position model. The record is from RNAcentral.